AGCCCUAACUUACCAAUGGUCACAGCGGAGGGCAAAGUCAAGACUGGUCCAGCAACAGUUCUCCAAGUUCGGCAAGUGCCUAGGCACAACAGGCCAGUAGUGCAGUGGUACAUCCAGUGGGAAAAUUUGCAGCCAGAAGACGCAACAUGGGAGGAUGCAGACUUCAUAAAGUACACAUUCCCUGAGUUUUUUUUGGACCACUACACAAGGGUGGAGAGACCAAGAACAAGCGCCAUGAGGACAUGUCGUUUCUCAAGAAGGGGGAAAUGUCAGGACCGUAGUGUCUGA
RNAcentral lists this ribosomal RNA (288 nucleotides) under Triticum aestivum (bread wheat). RNAcentral's name for it is "partial small subunit ribosomal RNA". The record is from RNAcentral. Lineage: Eukaryota; Viridiplantae; Streptophyta; Magnoliopsida; Poales; Poaceae.